This 270-nucleotide ribosomal RNA is filed under the name Triticum aestivum (bread wheat). RNAcentral's name for it is "partial small subunit ribosomal RNA". Lineage: Eukaryota; Viridiplantae; Streptophyta; Magnoliopsida; Poales; Poaceae. The record is from RNAcentral.
UUGGGGAAGAUCGCAACUUGUACCAUCUGCGGUCAGGAGGAUGAAGAUGAGUUCCACGCAGUGGUGGCGUGCACAAAAGCUAAAGCUCUCCGGAGUGAGAUGAGAAAAGUUUGGGCCUUACCCAAAGAGAAAGAAUUCAGGUACACAGGGAGGGACUGGCUCCAAUGCCUCUUAGCGAAGUGCGAUGAAGACACAAGGGAGAAGCUAAUGUUACUGUUCUGGAGAGCUUGGUUCCUACGCGAUGACUGCGUUCAUGGAGAAGGAAAAGCA